This 454-nucleotide long non-coding RNA is filed under the name Bos taurus (domestic cattle). RNAcentral's name for it is "long non-coding RNA NONBTAT022820". The record is from RNAcentral. Lineage: Eukaryota; Metazoa; Chordata; Mammalia; Artiodactyla; Bovidae.
CACAGGGUAUACCAAUGUGUUUAUACCAACUCUAAAAUUUACAAUGUACUGUACAAGUGGUCACGUGCGUGACUCAAAUUUGUCUUACUGACCGGCGUCAUAGCUCUCACCAGGAAGCUAUCCUGAUACCAGCAGGAUGCUGAAAGGGUAUACACAGGGCUACAGAAACCAGCCCAUCUCAAUGGGCAGGACUGGGUCCAUUAGUAAAAUGGCAGGGGCCACAAGUGGGCUGUGGCUCCUCUCAUGUCUGCUGGAGAUAUGAAGGCUCCCAGGUCACCUGGAGACAGGCUAGGUGUCUACCUCCGUGGCGAGGGUGAGACCGUAGCCGCCCAACCUCUUGGAUCAUUGCCGAGGACAGACAGAUUGACCAGCAAUGUGACCACCACUGUUCUGAAGGCAGGGCUCCCGAGGCACGUGCCCCUCAUAUGUUUGGAGGCCCUGGGCCCUUCCAGGG